Non-coding RNA from Podarcis lilfordi (Lilford's wall lizard), 81 nucleotides. The record is from the annotation of a GenBank genome assembly. NCBI's taxonomy places the organism in Eukaryota, Metazoa, Chordata, Lepidosauria, Squamata, Lacertidae.
GGUAGGGGAAAGCCCCUAGCUUAGUGGUAGAGCAUCUGCUUUGGGCACAGAAGGUUCCAGGUUCAAUCCCCGGCCUCUCCA